UACGUAGGGCGCAAGCGUUAUCCGGAAUUAUUGGGCGUAAAGAGCUCGUAGGCGGUUUGUCGCGUCUGCCGUGAAAGUCCAGGGCUCAACCCUGGAAAGCGGGUGGAUACUGCCGGGCUAGAGUCCGGAAGAGGCGAGUGGAAUUCCUGGUGUAGCGGUGGAAUGCGCAGAUAUCAGGAGGAACACCAACAGCGAAGGCAGCUCGCUGGGACGGUACUGACGCUGAGGCGCGAAAGCGUGGGGAGCGAACAGG
Molecule: ribosomal RNA, 253 nt
Filed under: uncultured bacterium
Lineage: Bacteria
Description: partial 16S ribosomal RNA
Rfam family: Bacterial small subunit ribosomal RNA
Source: RNAcentral